UUUAACUUCCUGACUCAUCUUCUCUUUCUCAUUUUAUUUCCUCUUACAAAUAGGUCGGUUUCCACGAGGAGAAUUGAGGGGCUAUUACUCUCUAGUGUCUGUGAACACAUUCAGAGAGGCAAGUAGGAAGUAAAAAUGAUGCGUCUUGGAUGCCAACAUAAUUUUCCAGGGAUGCCACCUACGGACAUAUAUGGUCUUCUUUCUUUUCCUGCGGCACAGAUUAUCAAUUCACAAGCAGUGACUGGGACUGGAGUUUUAUUUCCCUCAGAGUAAGAUUUGGCUGAAAAACAUGUUUGGGGGCAAGAAGAUCACGGAA
Long non-coding RNA from Suricata suricatta (meerkat), 316 nucleotides. RefSeq lists it as uncharacterized. The record is from RefSeq and is a predicted model, not a curated record. NCBI's taxonomy places the organism in Eukaryota, Metazoa, Chordata, Mammalia, Carnivora, Herpestidae. The transcript is spliced from 3 exons.